Molecule: ribosomal RNA, 547 nt
Filed under: fungal endophyte
Lineage: Eukaryota; Fungi
Description: eukaryotic LSU rRNA
Rfam family: 5.8S ribosomal RNA (bases 173-326)
Source: RNAcentral
UAGCGAGUUGCAAGACUCCCUACCCAUCGUGAACCUACCGUCCCAUGCUGUCUCGGCAGGGGGCUCCAGGGCGGAGCCCGCGCCUGGUCCUGUACGGGGCCAGGCCCCUGCCGGCACGGCCGUAACCCACGUGUCUCUAGCACCCUCUGAGUGGCCCGCGAGAAACAGUCAAAACUUUCAACAACGGAUCUCUUGGCUCUGGCAUCGAUGAAGAACGCAGCGAAAUGCGAUAAUUAAUGUGAAUUGCAGAAUUCAGUGAACCAUCGAAUCUUUGAACGCACAUUGCGCCCGCUAGUACUCUAGCGGGCAUGCCUGUCCGAGCGUCAUUUCCACCCGUCAAGCCUUUGCUUGUGUUGGGGUUCUGCGGCUGCCGCAGGCCCUUAAAAAGAGUGGCGUAGCCACGUGGCGUGCCGAGCGUAGUAGCAACACCCCGCUACGGCCCGUCCCGAGCUGCAUGCCGUAAACCCGGCUCUCCUCUGGGAAAGCGCUUUAAUUUGACCUCGGAUCAGGUAGGAAUACCCGCUGAACUUAAGCAUAUCAAUAAGCG